This 1036-nucleotide long non-coding RNA is filed under the name Anas platyrhynchos platyrhynchos (common mallard). RNAcentral's name for it is "lncRNA (ENSAPLG00000019440.1)". The record is from RNAcentral. Lineage: Eukaryota; Metazoa; Chordata; Aves; Anseriformes; Anatidae.
GCCCUUCCUUACUUCUUCCACCUGCCUGCAUAUCCCAGGGCUUGUUCUGCUGCCUCAUACAGUCCCUAAAACCAGAUCCUGCAAAAUACAGGGAUACAUACAAAACCAGUUAGGAGGUACUCAUAAAAGUCAUCAUGGAUAAAUACCAGCUACGAAAAAAAAGAUACUCAUUAUAUAUGAGCACAUGAGCUGUUCUUGUCUUACCACAGAAUCACAGGAUUUCUAGGUUGGAAGAGACCUCAAGAUCAUCAAGUCCAACCUCUGACCUAACACUAACAAGUCCUCCACUAAACCAUAUCCCUAAGCUCUACAUCUAAAUGUCUUUAAAAGACCUCCAGGGAUGGUGACUCAACCACUUCCCUGGGCAGCCCGUUCCAAUGCCUCACAACCCUUUCGGUAAAGAAGUUCUUCCUAACAUCCAACCUAAAACUCCCCUGGCACAACUUUAACCCAUUCCCCCUCGUCCUGUCACCUCCAUGUCCUUCUUGUAGCAAGGGGCCCAAAACUGAACACAGUACUCGAGGUGCAGCCUCACCAGAGCCGAGUACAGGCAAUCACUUCCCUAGCCCUGCUGGCCACACUGCUUCUGAUACAAACCAGAAUGCCAUUGGCCUUCUUGGCCACCUGAGCACACUGCUGGCUCAUAUUCAGCCGGCUAUCAACCAAUACUCCCAGGUCCUUCUCUGCCUGGCAGCUUUCCAACCAGCAUGUUAAUGGCAAAAUGCUCAUCUGACUGCAACAGAUGAAGCAGUUGAGAUCAGCCAACCAAAAAUCCUUAUGCACUACUAGAAAGGUAAUUAAAGCUGAAGUUCUGUCUCUGCACUGGGGAAACCUACAAUUGAAGAAACCGCCUGGAACUGGGGAACCAACUGGGAACAUUCCAGGCACACGUACUUGGAAGGAAAACAGAAUAAAUGAGAUCCUGGGAGAAGAAAAUAUGCCAGAAAAAAGACAAUAGGAAAUUGAUUACCAUCAGAAGAAUGAAAGAAUGAGUCAUCAGAUGGCUCCUUAAAUAAAAAGUACACAUUCACAGGCA